AUUGAACGCUGGCGGCAGGCCUAACACAUGCAAGUCGAGCGGAUGAAGGGAGCUUGCUCCUGGAUUCAGCGGCGGACGGGUGAGUAUGCCUAGGAAUCUGCCUGGUAGUGGGGGAUAACGUCCGGAAACGGGCGCUAAUACCGCAUACGUCCUGAGGGAGAAAGUGGGGGAUCUUCGGACCUCACGCUAUCAGAUGAGCCUAGGUCGGAUUAGCUAGUUGGUGGGGUAAAGGCCUACCAAGGCGACGAUCCGUAACUGGUCUGAGAGGAUGAUCAGUCACACUGGAACUGAGACACGGUCCAGACUCCUACGGGAGGCAGCAGUGGGGAAUAUUGGACAAUGGGCGAAAGCCUGAUCCAGCCAUGCCGCGUGUGUGAAGGAGGUCUUCGGAUUGUAAAGCACUUUAAGUUGGGAGGAAGGGCAGUAAGUUAAUACCUUGCUGUUUUGACGUUACCAACAGAAUAAGCACCGGCUAACUUCGUG
Molecule: ribosomal RNA, 483 nt
Filed under: uncultured bacterium
Lineage: Bacteria
Description: partial 16S ribosomal RNA
Rfam family: Bacterial small subunit ribosomal RNA
Source: RNAcentral